RNAcentral lists this ribosomal RNA (440 nucleotides) under uncultured bacterium. RNAcentral describes it as "bacterial SSU rRNA". It matches the Rfam family "Bacterial small subunit ribosomal RNA", at positions 355 to 786 of the family's 1533-position model. The record is from RNAcentral.
UGGGGAAUAUUGCGCAAUGGGCGAAAGCCUGACGCAGCGACGCCGCGUGAGGGAUGAAGGUCUUCGGAUCGUAAACCUCUGUCAGCAGGGAAGAAAGUUAUAUGUGCUAAUCAGCGUGUAAUUGACGGUACCUGCAAAGGAAGCACCGGCUAACUCCGUGCCAGCAGCCGCGGUAAUACGGAGGGUGCGAGCGUUAAUCGGAAUUACUGGGCGUAAAGCGCUCGUAGGUAGUGUGACAAGUCAAGGGUGAAAUCCCCGUGCUCAACAUGGGAACUGCCUUUGAAACUGUUAUACUUGAGUGUGUGAGAGGAUAGUGGAAUUCCAGGUGUAGGAGUGAAAUCCGUAGAUAUCUGGAGGAACAUCAGUGGCGAAGGCGACUAUCUGGCACAUAACUGACACUGAGGAACGAAAGCGUGGGGUAGCAAACAGGAUUAGAUACC